Molecule: ribosomal RNA, 347 nt
Filed under: uncultured bacterium
Lineage: Bacteria
Description: partial 16S ribosomal RNA
Rfam family: Bacterial small subunit ribosomal RNA
Source: RNAcentral
CCUACGGGAGGCAGCAGUGAGGAAUAUUGGUCAAUGGGCGCGAGCCUGAACCAGCCAAGUCGCGUGAGGGAAGACGGCCCUACGGGUUGUAAACCUCUUUUGCCGGGGAGCAACGGGCGCCACGUGUGGCGCCACUGAGAGUACCCGGAGAAAAAGCAGCGGCUAACUCCGUGCCAGCAGCCGCGGUAAUACGGAGGAUGCGAGCGUUAUCCGGAUUUAUUGGGUUUACAGGGGGCGUAGGCGGAGCGUUAAGUCAGGGGUCAAAUUGAGGGGCUCAACCCCUUCCCGCCAUUGAAACUGGCGCUCUUGAGUGGACGAGAAGUCUGCGGACUGCGUGGUGUAGCGGU